AGCCCCGGUCUUGAAUCUGGUCC
This 23-nucleotide microRNA is filed under the name Danio rerio (zebrafish). Its description in RNAcentral is "Dre-Novel-3_5p* (star (passenger))". The record is from RNAcentral. Lineage: Eukaryota; Metazoa; Chordata; Actinopteri; Cypriniformes; Danionidae.